This 2179-nucleotide long non-coding RNA is filed under the name Homo sapiens (human). Its description in RNAcentral is "non-protein coding lnc-TVP23C-4:1". The record is from RNAcentral. Lineage: Eukaryota; Metazoa; Chordata; Mammalia; Primates; Hominidae.
UGUUUUCUUACAACUAAAUGAUAAAACUGAGGCUGAAACACAGGUGUUUUCUGCCUGGCCUUUUUCUAGAAUGCACCUCUCUCUGAAGAUUAUAGAGAACUAUGAAGAAAAGGAGAUCGUGGGAAAUAUAUGAUUGAGUCAGUAUGAUUUGGAGGAAGCUCAAGUGCUUGCUGUGGUUGCAGAGAAGUGAGGGGACUUUACAUUCCUGGCUGGACAGGUUGAACUCUGGGAUUGGAGAGGUGGUGGGGGAGUGGAGAGGAGCAGAAGGAACAGACACAGGGAGAGACAUUUCAAAGGAUUGUCAACAGGGCAUGAUGAUAACACAGGGAGAGCAAGUCCAGCCUGUCUCCUGGUGCUGCCCCGAGUUGAUGACUGCAAUUAAACUGCCAGACUUUACAGCCUGCUCUGCACUGUGUCCUCCUGGCAUCUUGGGGACUUUUUCACGGUUGGGGCCACAGGGGAGGUUAGAAGCUGCUCGCUCUCUCCAUUGCCAAGCACUGGCCGGUCAAUGGAGUUGGGGAGAAGGAGGCUAAUUCUCAACAGCCUGUUAGUGACAGCCAUUCUCUCUCCAGCUUAUCUAAAGAGGAUUUUAUUUCAGAAGAAGGCUGAGAGCUUGUUAGAAAGGCAAGUUCUUGGGCCCCACCCCACAUAUACUGAAUCAGAGACCCUGGGAGUGGGACCCAGCAAUCUGUCUUAAUAGACCUUCUAGGAGAUUCUGGCACUAAGGAAAGAGACCACAGGUCUUGUCUAUCUCUGUAGUUGGCUGCGUCUGGGCCAGAGUAACUGCUUGUUGAAAUGAUCAGAGAUCUCAAAUGAGGUCAUGCAUGUUGGGGUGUGUGUGUGUGCAUGUGUGUGUGUUGUGUAUCUUUAUGUGUGUAUGUGUUUGGUCUAGGGUCCAGCACAUAGUAGGUGUUCACUCUUGGGGGUGGGAAUAAUCACUCUAAUGUCCGUGUUUGAGGACUGCAUUGCUGGUGACCGCUGAGCCUGCAGAGGAGGAAGAGAGCAGGGCAGAAGAUUCAGGAGGGGGUGCAUGGCAACUUCUGAUGUCACAGUGCCCCCCUUCACUCCUGACUUCUGGCUCAUGGGUCACUUUGGGGCAGGGGCAAGAGGAUGGUUAGCUGCAGCAAAGAGAGAGCCAAAGAGAAGUGGGAUUGAGAGCACAGGGGACAGCUGGAGACAAAAUAUAAACGCCGGGCAGGGGAACAGCCAAGAUAGUGCAGGAAGGAUGGGGAAUCACAGAAACUUCUCAGGUAACAGUCUGGGCCAGAACACUGGGUGUCCCCAGAGAGGGAAGUCGAGGGUGAAAGUGAAAAGGCUCACACUCAACUUCCAGGAGAAGGUCAGGUCCUUCAUCAAAGAAUAAUCCUGCCAUUAAAGGGUCCCCAGAGUCCCCAGCAUUACUUCCCUUAAGUGGAUCCCAAUCCUGGUCACCCAAUCCCCUCAGGACUUUGUAAAACGUACUGAUGCCCAACCCUUGCCAACAAGCUCGUCCCAUUCCUAGGAUUCUGAUUUACUUUGUCUGCAGAGGGCUUGAGCUCAGGUAUGUCUAUAAUGACAGCCAGGUGAUUCUAUUGUACACUCAGGGCUGACCACUCUACUUAAGCAAAACACACACACACAAAAUAUACCCCCGUUCCCCCCCAUCCCCUGGGGGUGAUGGGUUGGGGAUGAGGGUGAUGAUGUUCCCACAGAUGCAUUACCUCUCCACAGAGCUCAGGACCAAAGGAAUGUUUAGCCAGAACUGGUAAAUACCUUUAAAAAAUUAUUAAGCACCUAUAGAAACCUAUAGGGACAAAGGUGACUAAGAGGAUUUUUACAAAACAAUAAUAAUCAAGUCACUUAUUUAAAAAUAAUUAAUCAUGCUUGUAAUCCCACCACUUAAGGAGGCUGAGGCAGGAGGAUUGUUUGAGGCCGAGAACUCAAGACCAGCCUAGGCAACAUAGCAAGACCCCGUUUCUACAAAAAUAAAAAUAAAAAUAAAUUAGCUGGGCAUUGGUGUGCACCUGUAGUCCCAGCUACUCUGGAGGCUGAGGCAGGAGGGCCCCUUGAGUCCAGGUGUGUGUCUGUAUUGAGUGUGUGUCUGUGUGAGCCCAGGAGUUUGAGGCUGCAGUGAGCCAUGAUCGUGCCACUGCACUCCAGCCUGGGUGUCAGUGAGACUGUCUCUAUAAAAGUAAAAAUU